Molecule: long non-coding RNA, 931 nt
Filed under: Anas platyrhynchos platyrhynchos (common mallard)
Lineage: Eukaryota; Metazoa; Chordata; Aves; Anseriformes; Anatidae
Description: lncRNA (ENSAPLG00000031247.1)
Source: RNAcentral
AGCAGCAGUUUGUUGCUGGUAAAUCAGACACUACAGAUACAGGGCAUUAGAAGAUUGUUUAUCAUUUAUUUUAUAUAUAUAUAUAUAUAUGUUUGCAAAUGAUAUAUAUAGUUAAGGUUAUAUAUUUAGAGUUAUAUAUAUUUACAUACGGUUAGCAAAAAUUUUUUGAGUUCUAUAAUAAUCUAGGAAAGACGUCUGUCUAGUUUUUUUUGUUUGUUUGUUUUUGUGUUUUUUUUUUUUUUUUUUUUUUUCCCUAUAAAAAUACAGUGGUACUUGGCACUGUUGGGUGUGGGAAACCACAUCUUAACUUGAAAUCCAAAAUGUUGACCUGACACCAUUAAGAUGUAACUUGUACUUGGUUACUGUCUUUUUUCACAUGCAAAUUUUAACUCUGCCCAUUCUGACAUCACAGUGGAACAUAACCUGACUUGCUUACUCAAGGCCAGGUUUUGCCUUCCUUACUCACAUCAACUUCAGUUGAGCAAAGCAUAUAACAUUAAACACAUGUGGAUACUCACAUGUCUAAAGUUAACCACAUGCUUAUGCAGGUCUUCAAAUAGAUCAUAGAAAAAUAAGGCAGAAGUGUUGCAUGGAUGUUGUGAGGAGAAAAAAUCACUGGUGUCUGUAAGGUAUUCAGUCAGGGUCUACUUAUAUUUUGGAAGGAAGGGGGAUCAUGCAACAUGCAGCAAAAGGAAGAACUCCAUCAGGUCUCCACUAGAGAUUGCAUAGGUUGUAACUCCAACAUUGCAGACAGUUUGAUGGAAACUUCCUUUGUCCAGAAGGUCUGUAAUGUCCAGGCUGAUGGCAGAGGUACCAAUUGGCUCAGGUAGAGUACCAAUUUACGGCCAAAGCUAAAAUGCCUUAAAACAAAACAAAACAAACAAGAAAAGAACAAAAUAAACCUACUUCUGUUCCUUUUGCCUGAUUUCGC